RNAcentral lists this long non-coding RNA (629 nucleotides) under Aquilegia coerulea. Its description in RNAcentral is "long non-coding RNA (ACOE_LNC001884)". Lineage: Eukaryota; Viridiplantae; Streptophyta; Magnoliopsida; Ranunculales; Ranunculaceae. The record is from RNAcentral.
AUGUGGGACUAUGUAUUCCUCUAUCAUUUUUACAUCAACUAUUGCAGAACUAGGAUGCAACUCUGUAGGAGCAAUAGUGGGGAAUUGGUCAACUCUUGGUUUUUGUUCAAGUAAAGAGACUUCUGUUGGCAACAAGAACUUUCAUGCAUAACCAAUAUGAUCAACAUUGCUAUGAAAAGGGAACACAGCAAACAAGGUCCGAUAAAACUUCACAUUAUACUCACAGAUCCUGAAGCUCGAGAUUUUUUCUUAGGAUUCUCAGAAAAAAUGGCAAUGCUUUUAAUUUCAGUGUCUGUUUCCGGUUGAGUCAUCUCAGAUUUCCUUUUUGGUUGUGAUUUUGAAUAGAGAAGAAACGGCAUUGGAUGGAUGUCCUUCAGUGUGUCCCAAAUUAUCGGAGAUUUCUUGGCUCAAGCAAGCAACCUCUUCCAUUACAUUGUCAGAAAUAACCUUACUGGAGAAGCUUGGAUUCUGCUCCUCCAUCAUACAGAAGUCCAUGGGCAUGACAUUGUUAUUAUCAAUCAAAAUCGAACUAUGGACGGCGAGAUCAUGGUGAUUGGUCUGACAUCUUAAAAGUACGCGCGAAUUGACAGUAUAUACGUGAUGUCGAUCUUGUCCCCUUUGAUGCUUCU